Molecule: non-coding RNA, 321 nt
Organism: Pelobates cultripes (western spadefoot toad)
Lineage: Eukaryota; Metazoa; Chordata; Amphibia; Anura; Pelobatidae
Source: the annotation of a GenBank genome assembly
CCCCCCCCCAACCUGUGCAACCCCCUCCUUACAGACAGGUUCAUAACCAUCGUAUAUGCUCACCUCUCGGUUACAAUGUAUCAAUCUGUCAGCAUCCUGGAGGAGGGGGGCUAGAGCCCAUGUUGUCAGUCUCCUCUCAGCUUAUUCAGAGGGUGCCCGGCUAAAUGGUGGGGUCCGGCCGGGUCUCCUCAUAGCAAAUCAAUAGAGCCUGCCAGAGCAGAGGGGUAUGAUCCGUGCACCCACAUUACACUAACUACCUACACACAGCGCAGUCUCACUGCAACAAAGCAUUGGGGGGAAACAAGGCUGGACCAAACCAAG